RNAcentral lists this ribosomal RNA (927 nucleotides) under Leiothecium ellipsoideum. RNAcentral describes it as "LSU rRNA". It matches the Rfam family "Eukaryotic large subunit ribosomal RNA", at positions 40 to 984 of the family's 3401-position model. The record is from RNAcentral. Lineage: Eukaryota; Fungi; Ascomycota; Eurotiomycetes; Eurotiales; Aspergillaceae.
AUAUCAAUAAGCGGAGGAAAAGAAACCAACCGGGAUUGCCUCAGUAACGGCGAGUGAAGCGGCAAGAGCUCAAAUUUGAAAGCUGGCCCCUCCGGGGUCCGCGUUGUAAUUUGCAGAGGAUGCUUCGGGUACGGCCCCCGUCUAAGUGCCCUGGAACGGGCCGUCGGAGAGGGUGAGAAUCCCGUCUGGGACGGGGUGUCCGUGUCCGUGUGAAGCUCCUUCGACGAGUCGAGUUGUUUGGGAAUGCAGCUCUAAAUGGGUGGUAAAUUUCAUCUAAAGCUAAAUACUGGCCGGAGACCGAUAGCGCACAAGUAGAGUGAUCGAAAGAUGAAAAGCACUUUGAAAAGAGAGUUAAACAGCACGUGAAAUUGUUGAAAGGGAAGCGCUUGCAACCAGACUCGCCCGCGGGGUUCAGCCGGCAUUCGUGCCGGUGUACUUCCCCGUGGGCGGGCCAGCGUCGGUUCGGGCGGCCGGUCAAAGGCCCCUGGAAUGUGUCGCCCUCCGGGGCGUCUUAUAGCCAGGGGUGCAAUGCGGCCAGCCUGGACCGAGGAACGCGCUUCGGCACGGACGCUGGCGUAAUGGUUGUAAGCGACCCGUCUUGAAACACGGACCAAGGAGUCUAACAUCUACGCGAGUGUUUGGGUGUCAAACCCAUGCGCGCAGUGAAAGCGAACGGAGGUGGGAACCCCGCAAGGGGCGCACCAUCGACCGAUCCUGAUGUCUUCGGAUGGAUUUGAGUACGAGCGUAGCUGUGGGGACCCGAAAGAUGGUGAACUAUGCCUGAAUAGGGCGAAGCCAGAGGAAACUCUGGUGGAGGCUCGCAGCGGUUCUGACGUGCAAAUCGAUCGUCAAAUUUGGGUAUAGGGGCGAAAGACUAAUCGAACCAUCUGGUAGCUGGUUCUGCGAGCCUCCCUCCCCCGGGAGAAA